UACGAAGGGGGCUAGCGUUGCUCGGAAUCACUGGGCGUAAAGCGCACGUAGGCGGCUUCUCAAGUCAGGGGUGAAAUCCUGGAGCUCAACUCCAGAACUGCCUUUGAUACUGAGGGGCUCGAGUCCGGGAGAGGUGAGUGGAACUGCGAGUGUAGAGGUGAAAUUCGUAGAUAUUCGCAAGAACACCAGUGGCAAAGGCGGCUCACUGGCCCGGUACUGACGCUGAGGUGCGAAAGCGUGGGGAGCAAACAGG
Molecule: ribosomal RNA, 253 nt
Filed under: uncultured bacterium
Lineage: Bacteria
Description: partial 16S ribosomal RNA
Rfam family: Bacterial small subunit ribosomal RNA
Source: RNAcentral